UCCCUGGUGGCCUAGUGGUUAAGGAUCUAGCAUUGUCACUGCUGUGGCGUGGGUUUGAUCCCUGGCCUGGGAA
This 73-nucleotide transfer RNA is filed under the name Sus scrofa (pig). It matches the Rfam family "tRNA". Rfam says of the family: Transfer RNA (tRNA) molecules are approximately 80 nucleotides in length. Lineage: Eukaryota; Metazoa; Chordata; Mammalia; Artiodactyla; Suidae. The record is from Rfam by way of RNAcentral.